This 398-nucleotide ribosomal RNA is filed under the name uncultured bacterium. RNAcentral's name for it is "partial 16S ribosomal RNA". It matches the Rfam family "Bacterial small subunit ribosomal RNA", at positions 360 to 775 of the family's 1533-position model. The record is from RNAcentral.
AAUUUUGGACAAUGGGCGAAAGCCUGAUCCAGCCAUGCCGCGUGAGUGAUGAAGGCCCUCGGGUUGUCCAGCUCUUUCACCGGUGAAGAUAAUGACGGUAGCCGGAGAAGAAGCCCCGGCUAACUUCGUGCCAGCAGCCGCGGUAAUACGAAGGGGGCUAGCGUUGUUCGGAAUUACUGGGCGUAAAGCGCACGUAGGCGGACUAUUUAGUCAGGGGUGAAAUCCCGGGGCUCAACCCCGGAACUGCCUUUGAUACUGGUAGUCUAGAGUCCGGAAGAGGUGAGUGGAAUUCCGAGUGUAGAGGUGAAAUUCGUAGAUAUUCGGAGGAACACCAGUGGCGAAGGCGGCUCACUGGUCCGGAACUGACGCUGAGGUGCGAAAGCGUGGGGAGCAAACAG